CUACGGGUUGCACCAGUAAGGAAUAUUGCACAAUGGGGGAAACCCUGAUGCAGCAACGCCGCGUGGACGAAGAAGGCCUUCGGGUCGUAAAGUCCUUUUCUGAGGGAAGAGGAAGGACGGUACCUCAGGAAUAAGUCUCGGCUAACUACGUGCCAGCAGCCGCGGUAAAACGUAGGAGGCGAGCGUUAUCCGGAUUCACUGGGCGUAAAGGGCAAGUAGGCGGUUGUUUAAGUUAGGUGUGACAUCUCUCGGCUUAACUGGGGGGGAGCGCUUAAAACUAGGCAACUAGAGGGCGGAAGAAGGGGGUAGAACUCCAAAUGUAGCGGUGGAAUGCUCAGAUAUUUGGAAGAAUACCAGUGGCGAAGGCGACCCCCCGGUCCGUGCCUGACGCUGAGAGGCGAAAGCUAGGGUAGCGAACGGGAUUAGAUACCCUUGUAGUC
This 440-nucleotide ribosomal RNA is filed under the name uncultured bacterium. Its description in RNAcentral is "partial 16S ribosomal RNA". It matches the Rfam family "Bacterial small subunit ribosomal RNA", at positions 339 to 795 of the family's 1533-position model. The record is from RNAcentral.